This 409-nucleotide ribosomal RNA is filed under the name Lasiargus sp. LT-2015. RNAcentral describes it as "partial 16S ribosomal RNA". The record is from RNAcentral. Lineage: Eukaryota; Metazoa; Arthropoda; Arachnida; Araneae; Linyphiidae.
ACAAUUAUAAGUAAGAUCUGCUCCAUGAAUUAUAAAUAGCCGCAGAAUUUUAACUGUGCUAAGGUAGCAUAAUCAUUUACCUUUUAAUUAAAGGUCUGUAUGAACGAUUACUCAAUUAAAUCAUUUUUUUAUAAAUACUUAUUUAAUUUAAACUAAAAAUAAAAAUGUUUUUAUAAAAAAGAAAGACGAUAAGACCCUAAUGAACUUUACUAAAGUUUAGCUGGGGAAGCUAAUUAACCAUAAUUUUAAUUUUAAACUUUUAAUAGAUAUCUAAUACAAUUAAUUUAACCAAGUUACCAUAGGGAUAACAGCGUAAUAUAAUUUAAAAGCUCAUAUUUAAAAUUAAGAUUACGACCUCGAUGCUGAAUUAAAAAUUCUCUAAAGCGCAAUAGCCUAAAAGGAGGUCUGU